Molecule: ribosomal RNA, 253 nt
Filed under: uncultured bacterium
Lineage: Bacteria
Description: partial 16S ribosomal RNA
Rfam family: Bacterial small subunit ribosomal RNA
Source: RNAcentral
UACGUAGGGUGCAAGCGUUGUCCGGAAUUAUUGGGCGUAAAGAGCUCGUAGGCGGUCUGUCGCGUCUGCUGUGAAAAUCCAGGGCUCAACCCUGGACCUGCAGUGGGUACGGGCAGACUAGAGUGCGGUAGGGGAGAUCGGAAUUCCUGGUGUAGCGGUGAAAUGCGCAGAUAUCAGGAGGAACACCGGUGGCGAAGGCGGAUCUCUGGGCCGUAACUGACGCUGAGAAGCGAAAGCAUGGGGAGCGAACAGG